This is a long non-coding RNA of Bufo bufo (common toad), 1647 nucleotides long. RefSeq lists it as uncharacterized. The record is from RefSeq and is a predicted model, not a curated record. The transcript has 2 exons. Lineage: Eukaryota; Metazoa; Chordata; Amphibia; Anura; Bufonidae.
UGGAUAACCCUGACAAAAGUAUAGUUUUAAAGAAGAUAGACGGAGCUACACUGCAUUGGUUAACUACAGUGGAAGCAGGAAACGGAUUCCCUUUAAUGGGCCGUUUUACUUGUUUGAUUUUCUUCAUGGACCAUCGAUCUGGUCAGACAACUGGGUAGCAUGCACAAUUUUGUUCAAGUUUUCAAUCUCAAUUUCAAGUCAAUGAAAAAAAAAAUGACAGAACAUGGACCCCAUCCAUCCACCAGCUGCCUUAAUACAAGAUAAAAAGUGCUUUCAUUCUAAACACUUCCAGAAUGCCAAGAAAUAAUCCAAGCUGCCCCCCCCCCUCUGUAAACAUAAAAGGUAAUAAUUGCCCAAGUUUUUUAACAAAUUGUAGAAAUCCUUCAUUUUCCUAGUGUCACCCCCAGAAAUGAUCAUACACGUUCACUAUAGUCUCUAGAACAGCAGCACAUUUUAUUCCAUCCAUUGUUCAGAUCAGCUUUUUACAGCAUCAUUAGCUCCUAGACGCGGAGCACAUUAUUACAGCUGGCUGGCAGACUGGAGCAAUAUAUAUAUAUACACACACACAGAAGGUUCUUGGGCAAAGUCCCGGCUAUAUUAAUACGGACACGCUCCCUAUGAGUGCAGCAGGUCUGUGGAGCUGUCGGUAAUGACUAGAUAAUGGCCGAGGCAAACUAUACCGAUUCACAGUACAAAUUGUUUGUAUACGGAGGUUUUAGGAGCAAUGAUUUGCUCUACAUUAAAGAGAAUCUGUUACUGAGUUACAUGAUGCAGUAAUAAUCCCAUGACUCCUGCUCCUACUAAAACCAAUGUAUCUUCUUGUCUCCCCAAAACAGCUCUGCUCCUCCACUGGCUGUCUGGACUGCAAUACCAGAUGCAACUUUCUUCUAAUCCUGGUCAUCCCCUUUAAAUAGUGUUUCCAGGUAGGACAUUAUUUUUAAUAGGGAAAAAAAAAAAAAAAAAGCGUUACCUCACCAAUCCCCUCCUGCUGUCCAUUUCACUCCGGCUAGACACACAGACAAAGGUUUGGAAAGUGGGUCCCCACUGAGAGCCAGUGAUUGACACUGAUGGAAAACCCCUUUAAAAGGAGCUAUGCUACGUUUUAAAGGUAUUUCCUAGCCACAGGAUGGGGGGGGGGGGGGGGGGGUCAGACUGCUGUGACCUCCACCACUUCUAGGUAUGGAGGCCAGAUCCCCCAUCUUGAAGGAGCGUCAGGGCGGCAUGCACCCUCUCGCUCCCUUCAUUAUCUAGGGCAGGGAUGCUCAACCUGCGGCCCUCCAGCUGUUGCAAAACUACAACUCCCAGCAUGCCCUAAUAGCUGUAGGCUGUCCAGGCAUGCCAAGAGUUGUAGUUUUGCUGAAGGGCCGCAGGAUGAGCAUCCCUGAUCUAUGGGACUACCGAACAGAGCCGAGCGCUGUACUCUGUUGUCUCCGGCAGUCCCACAGAGAAUUAAUGAAUUAAUGGCGCAAGCUUGACUUGCUGCUCCAUCAGGGUGGGUGGAAAGAGUUCUUGGGAUCAGAGGGGGAACCAGCAGACACCUACUGAUCAGUUAUCCCUUAUACUUAUAUUUGACGAGAUUGCACCAGAAGGUUCCUGAGUGACAGGUUCUCUUUAAAAACACCCUUCGUACAAUAAAUCUGAUUUAAA